This 412-nucleotide ribosomal RNA is filed under the name Globigerinoides ruber albus. RNAcentral's name for it is "partial small subunit ribosomal RNA". It matches the Rfam family "Eukaryotic small subunit ribosomal RNA", at positions 1405 to 1637 of the family's 1831-position model. Lineage: Eukaryota; Foraminifera; Rotaliida; Globigerinidae. The record is from RNAcentral.
GAUAAACUCGGGGGACUGCUGACUAUAACCAUUUCUCAAAACAGAGGAAGGUUGCGGCAAUAACAGGUCUGUGAUGCCCUCAGAUGUCCCGGGCUGCACACGUGCUACAAUGAGUGGCGCAAUGUGCUAAUGUUUAAGGGAUAAGAGUGUGGUCAGUAGAACGUCGGGAUUUCCCCUGACGUCUCCCCCGCACGAUUAUCAGCCUUCCCUUAACAGGGCGGGCAACCUUUUCAAAAUACUGGUUUGAUGUUAAAGUAUUGAGUCGUUUUUUUUGGAUGGUGGUUUGUUAACCAAUACCAUCCGGCAACUGCUCGCGAGUUUGUGGUUCUGGCGACUCAUGGUGGGGACCGACGUUUGUAAUUUUUUGUCGCGUGUUAACUAGGAAUGCCUUGUACUGUCGAUUCACUAAGUU